Molecule: long non-coding RNA, 1599 nt
Organism: Electrophorus electricus (electric eel)
Lineage: Eukaryota; Metazoa; Chordata; Actinopteri; Gymnotiformes; Gymnotidae
Source: RefSeq, a predicted model, not a curated record
UUGGAAACCUUUGCAAUACGGAAAUUACCAGUGAAAUGUAAGAACUGAAAUGCAAGAACUAAAAUGGUGUGCAAAGCCCCUGUUAAAUCACUUUACUUAGCAUGGCUUUUGUUUACGUUAAGCUUGUAAUUAACACCCCUAAACAAGUUUAUUCACCUGGGCUAAUUGUCUGUUUAUCCCCAAGCUUCCAGCACUCUCGUCUUUGCGAUAAGCAGCAGGGGACAAGCUCCUCUAUACUGACGAACCAUUAGCUCCGUCUUUGUUUAUUUAAUUCCAGCCCGCCUGACAUCACAAUACUGGCAGUCGUUAACAACAUCGCGUGAUUUACUCAAGAAGUGUUACUUAAACCUAACCUGGAAAUAUUGAUUUGAUGUUUUUGGGUGGAGUGACCAGAGAGGUACUACACUUCGUGCCUAAUUUCGGAGCUACUUCUCUCGAGUGAGACAGACAAACACGUGUGGCGUCAUAGUGUGAGACACUGGACCAAGGAGAGUCGGUCUAGGUGAAAAGCUAAGAGAUUCUUGCGGCUGUUUCUGCGUUACCAGGUUUUCUACUGCACGUGUUCUUAAAUGGACCCACCGUGGACGCAAUUAGAGCUCUGCCACGCGCACCCAAGUGCCGACAUCAUCUUUGCACCCUUUUUCAUGUUCUCCGCUGCCGGGACGCUGUCUGGCUCACUACUCCAUAAAUCCUGAAAGGGCGAAUGAAGCUUGCACCUUUGUGGAGCCGUCGGGAUGGGGCGCAAAUGCCCCUUUCUGUUUGUUUUUCCAAGCUUUCAACCUCUUCCGAUUUGCGUCGGCCAGGAUUCGUGCAAGAGCGCAAUUUGCAGAUGUGUUAGCAUUUUUGACCCUCUGAGGCACCUUCACAUAUUUUCUGUCGAAUGGAAUAUCAGUCCGAAGUACAUCUUGAGCAAAAGGAUCGAUAGAGGACGUCAGGAGACCUCCGGGAGAAGCAAUGCGCUGCAUCACCGUGACAGGUACAAGACCCGCGCGUUACAUCCACGCCCUAGGGGAGAUAACGUAUCUAAGCAGUACGAGCAUCAACAGGUAGGCUAUGCCCACUUCACUGCUUAGCUAGGGCUUAGGGAAAUGGGAAUUCAAACGGCCAAGGACGCUUGAUCUCAUGUUUUACAAAAGCCCCAUUUUGUAAUUUCUACUCUGGUCGAAUGAAUCAACAUGUAGGAUAAUUAUAGUAAGAUAUCGUAUUCGGCCAUGUUUGUGGCAUUUAUUGGAACUUGUCGUGAGCAUCUUUUUACAGGACAUCACAUUAAUUUGCAUGAUAACUACGGAAAAAAUAUAGGCUCUUUCCCUAUAAAUCCUACGUAUGUUGCAUGCAUUGACAAGGGAAGUCAUCAUAAGAAAAAGUGAAGGGUAUUUUCAGAUAGGUCUUAUUUCUGUGUCCUUAACUCAGUUUGUAUAUCCCUACACGAGGAUCUUUUUAAAAGUAUUCCUGGAGGUUGAACUGUGCCCAAAUGCUAAAAACAGUUGUAUAAUUCCCCUUUUAACGGCGGGUUAGGUUCAGGAAGCAAGUAACAAAGGCCGUGUCUCGAAAGUUUUAGUCUACUCACGAAACCCGGAAGUUUGAUUUACCCUUUUGACG